Molecule: non-coding RNA, 1324 nt
Organism: Amphimedon queenslandica
Lineage: Eukaryota; Metazoa; Porifera; Demospongiae; Haplosclerida; Niphatidae
Source: the annotation of a RefSeq genome assembly
GUACCCUAGGUUUCGGGUGAGAUAUAAAGCGUGCGGCAUUCGUAAUACAUGCUAAGAUGGGGGGGGUCGGGAGGCCGGACGUCUGUACAGGUGAGUAAAACCUUUGACGCAAACUACCAACCUACGGUUGGGUGAAAUACCAGAAGGGAGUUUCUAUCGACAGGUAAUAUUAGUUAGUUGGGGGGUGUAUUAGGGUAAACCCGGAGAUGCAUAGUCGAGAGGCCACAAUUCCACUGAAACAAGGGGGAGGCUCUGUAUAGAGGCAGCAGUAGAGAAUUUUGUACAAUGUAUGAAAGUACGAUACAGGGAAAACGCGAAUCCAGUGGGGCCCUUCGGGGGUCCAUUGGUGUAAGCCCGUCAAACGAGUAUGCCAGCAGGCGCGGUUAUUUACAGGGGCUGAGUUUUAUAAGGAAGGGCGUAAAUAGUGUAACGAUGGGUGGUGAGUACCAUAAAGGGAAACCAAGGAGCAGGCAUAGGGGUAGCUGGAACUAGUAAGAAGCGGUAAAAUGCGGAUAUAUACGAAGGUACACCAGAGGCGAAAGCGAGCUACUGGGAUACAACCAACCUGUGGUUGGUUCAUAAGGGGCUGACGUUUAAGCACGAAAGUGUGGGGAGCGAGUAGGAUUAGAUACCCAGGUAGUCCAUACCGCGAAAGAUGGGCCAUAUAUGUAUGCGUACGUAUACAUGUAAGUAAAUGCAAGAGGGUCCCGCCUGAAGAGUAUGAUUGCAAAGUUGAAAUUUAAGAAAUCUGACGGUUCGCCAACCAAUUAGAGGAGCGUGUGGUUUAAUGCGAUGAUCCGCGAGGGACCUUACCAGAGUUUGAACCUCACCAGUAUUAGGGGGGCAGGCGUCGUGUGGCCGUCGUCAGCCCUUGAUAAAGGGCACAACAUCGGCAGCCGAGUGGAAAACUAUACAACCACGGCGGUGCCUUGUAUGAAGUCAGGUCCUUACGGCCUAUAUAUUCUGGGCGACCCAUGCGCUACAAAUCUUAUAGGCAAAUACACAAAGUUGGUGCCAAGAAAGCUGGAAGGUUAAAUGGGAGUUAGGUUCGGGGCGUCCACUGAAAUGGGGGCGUGAAGCAGGAUUUGAAAGUAAUCGGGGAGUAGAGCGUUUCGGUGAAUAGAGCUCUGGCGUUCGUACAAACCGCUCGUCGCUCCCGCCAAGCAGUGGAGACUUAAAGUACGGGCAGAACUCAGGUGAAAUGGAAGUGGCUACAUAAGUGUGUCAUGGGAGGCCGGCAGGGGAGGACACGUAUGAUUGUGAAGCUGCAAGGGGGGAUAAGUCGAAACACGGUGGGGGUACUGGAAAGUGUCCCCGGAUUAAA